This 23-nucleotide non-coding RNA is filed under the name Cricetulus griseus (Chinese hamster). The record is from RNAcentral. Lineage: Eukaryota; Metazoa; Chordata; Mammalia; Rodentia; Cricetidae.
AUGAAUACCAACGGCUCUGAUGG